RNAcentral lists this non-coding RNA (21 nucleotides) under Caenorhabditis elegans. Lineage: Eukaryota; Metazoa; Nematoda; Chromadorea; Rhabditida; Rhabditidae. The record is from RNAcentral.
UAGACUUCCUUAACGCUAGGG